RNAcentral lists this ribosomal RNA (484 nucleotides) under uncultured bacterium. Its description in RNAcentral is "partial 16S ribosomal RNA". It matches the Rfam family "Bacterial small subunit ribosomal RNA", at positions 30 to 507 of the family's 1533-position model. The record is from RNAcentral.
AGUGAACGCUGGCGGCAGGCCUAACACAUGCAAGUCGAGCGGAAGCGCGGGGGCAACCCUGGCGGCGAGCGGCGGACGGGUGAGGAAUUCGUCGGUGUCUGACCUUUCGUGGGGGAUAGCGUAGGGUAAGGUACCCUAAUAUAGCAUCCGACCUUCGGGUGAAAGGGGGGGUUCGCAAGGGCUAGAGCAGAUUGCUGAGCCGACGACACAUAAGCUAGUUGGUGGGGUAAGGGCCCACCAAGGCGACGAUCGAUAGCUGGUCUGAGAGGCUGAUCAGCCACACUGGAACUGAGACACGGCCCAGACUCCUACGGGAGGCAGCAGUGGGGAAUAUUGGGCAAUGGGCGCAAGCCUGACCCAGCCAUGCCGCGUGUGUGAAGAAGGCCUUCGGGUUGUAAAGCACUUUUGUCCGGAAAGAAAACCCGGGUACUAAUCCCUGCACGGGAUGACGGUACCGGAAGAAUAAGCACCGGCUAACUUCGUG